UACACUCCUACGGGAGGCAGCAGUGGGGAAUUUUGGACAAUGGGCGAAAGCCUGAUCCAGCAAUGCCGCGUGAGUGAAGAAGGCCUUCGGGUUGUAAAGCUCUUUUGUCAGGGAAGAAACGGUGAGAGCUAAUAUCUCUUGCUAAUGACGGUACCUGAAGAAUAAGCACCGGCUAACUACGUGCCAGCAGCCGCGGUAAUACGUAGGGUGCAAGCGUUAAUCGGAAUUACUUGGCGUAAAGCGUGCGCAGGCGGUUUUGUAAGUCUGAUGUGAAAUCCCCGGGCUCAACCUGGGAAUUGCAUUGGAGACUGCAAGGCUAGAAUCUGGCAGAGGGGGGUAGAAUUCCACGUGUAGCAGUGAAAUGCGUAGAUAUGUGGAGGAACACCGAUGGCGAAGGCAGCCCCCUGGGUCAAGAUUGACGCUCAUGCACGAAAGCGUGGGGAGCAAACAGGAUUAGAUACCCCGGUAGUCCC
Molecule: ribosomal RNA, 473 nt
Filed under: uncultured organism
Description: partial 16S ribosomal RNA
Rfam family: Bacterial small subunit ribosomal RNA
Source: RNAcentral